Manis pentadactyla (Chinese pangolin) is the source of this 551-nucleotide long non-coding RNA. RefSeq lists it as uncharacterized. The transcript is spliced from 4 exons. The record is from RefSeq and is a predicted model, not a curated record. Lineage: Eukaryota; Metazoa; Chordata; Mammalia; Pholidota; Manidae.
GCCAACAAGCUGGAGAAAAUGAGAUGCUUCUCUAAAUUUUUAUAUGGCUCAGCUUAUUUUGGAGGUGGUUUCAGACAGAUGGCAGAGAAAAAGCUGCACUCUGACUUUGAUCAACACUGCUUUGCUUUGCCUGGUGUUGACCUUACAAAUGGCCAUAUAAAUGGGACCACACAGCGUGGAGCCUGUGGAUCUGGUUUCCUUCAUUCAGCAUCACACCUGUGAGAUUCAGCCAUCUCGUGGAAUACAACCCAGCAAACCUUUGGAAAAACAUGGAGACAGACUGGAUGGCCAUUUCUGAACAGAUGAUGUCCGUGAAGGUACUGUUCCUCAUUCUUUGACUCUGGUUCCUGGAUGCAUCAUCCCAAAUGCUGACAUCAUCUAGCACCUGGAAGCUCCAUUAGUGUGGGUUUUCCUCUUGAAUGGAAAGUGGUUGCCACACUUGCAUGCAGUACCAUGAAAAUUCUUCUGUAACAUCCUGUGUAAUGUGCUUUGCAGAUCUAUCUCAGCCCUGUAUAGUUUAAUCAUUUCAUUCACAGUAUAUUAAUUACAAU